CAUGCAAGUCGAACGAUGAAGCCCUUCGGGGUGGAUUAGUGGCGAACGGGUGAGUAACACGUGGGCAAUCUGCCCUGCACUCUGGGACAAGCCCUGGAAACGGGGUCUAAUACCGGAUACUGAUCGCCUUGGGCAUCCUUGGUGAUCGAAAGCUCCGGCGGUGCAGGAUGAGCCCGCGGCCUAUCAGCUUGUUGGUGAGGUAAUGGCUCACCAAGGCGACGACGGGUAGCCGGCCUGAGAGGGCGACCGGCCACACUGGGACUGAGACACGGCCCAGACUCCUACGGGAGGCAGCAGUGGGGAAUAUUGCACAAUGGGCGAAAGCCUGAUGCAGCGACGCCGCGUGAGGGAUGACGGCCUUCGGGUUGUAAACCUCUUUCAGCAGGGAAGAAGCGAAAGUGACGGUACCUGCAGAAGAAGCGCCGGCUAACUACGUGCCAGCAGCCGCGGUAAUACGUAGGGCGCGAGCGUUGUCCGGAAUUAUUGGGCGUAAAGAGCUCGUAGGCGGCUUGUCGCGUCGGUUGUGAAAGCCCGGGGCUUAACCCCGGGUCUGCAGUCGAUACGGGCAGGCUAGAGUUCGGUAGGGGAGAUCGGAAUUCCUGGUGUAGCGGUGAAAUGCGCAGAUAUCAGGAGGAACACCGGUGGCGAAGGCGGAUCUCUGGGCCGAUACUGACGCUGAGGAGCGAAAGCGUGGGGAGCG
Molecule: ribosomal RNA, 700 nt
Filed under: Streptomyces sp. SCAUEA5
Lineage: Bacteria; Bacillati; Actinomycetota; Actinomycetes; Kitasatosporales; Streptomycetaceae
Description: bacterial SSU rRNA
Rfam family: Bacterial small subunit ribosomal RNA
Source: RNAcentral